UCGUGGUGUUGAUGAAACUUUUGAUGU
Molecule: non-coding RNA, 27 nt
Filed under: Homo sapiens (human)
Lineage: Eukaryota; Metazoa; Chordata; Mammalia; Primates; Hominidae
Source: RNAcentral